Molecule: ribosomal RNA, 497 nt
Filed under: uncultured bacterium
Lineage: Bacteria
Description: partial 16S ribosomal RNA
Rfam family: Bacterial small subunit ribosomal RNA
Source: RNAcentral
GACGAACGCUGGCGGCGUGCCUAAUACAUGCAAGUUGAGCGCUGAAGGUUGGUACUUGUACCAACUGGAUGAGCAGCGAACGGGUGAGUAACGCGUGGGGAAUCUGCCUUUGAGCGGGGGACAACAUUUGGAAACGAAUGCUAAUACCGCAUAAAAACUUUAAACACAAGAUUUAAGUUUGAAAGAUGCAAUUGCAUCACUCAAAGAUGAUCCCGCGUUGUAUUAGCUAGUUGGUGAGGUAAAGGCUCACCAAGGCGAUGAUACAUAGCCGACCUGAGAGGGUGGUCGGCCACAUUGGGACUGAGACACGGCCCAAAAUCCUACGGGAGGCAGCAGUAGGGAAACUUCGGCAAUGGACGAAAGUCUGACCGAGCAACGCCGCGUGAGUGAAGAAGGUUUUCGGAUCGUAAAACUCUGUUGGUAGAGAAGAACGUUGGUGAGAGUAGAAAGCUCAUCAAGUGACGGUAACUACCCAGAAAGGGACGGCUAACUACGUG